This is a long non-coding RNA of Oncorhynchus tshawytscha (Chinook salmon), 963 nucleotides long. Lineage: Eukaryota; Metazoa; Chordata; Actinopteri; Salmoniformes; Salmonidae. The record is from Ensembl.
GGGAAAUGGUACCAAUAGUUUAGAUUUAAGAAAGUCACCUUGUCCGGGAGAGAGUUAUCAAAACGUCAUGCCAGGAUACCUAUUGUGAGAGUUGCUUGACUACAGCCCAAGAAAUUGAGAGCAGAAGAAAGACACAGCAGAGUCCAGACGGGAUGUUAUUGAGAAGCUAGUCAGUGGUGCUGUGUACCAAGAUUUAGAUGCUAAAAUCCCCACUGAACACAUUUUAAUGUAACUAUGUUCAACUGUACCAACUCUGUUUAUUUAAUCUCCAAAAUUCUCUUAGAAUAAAGAUAUUUCUCAAUAUCAUGUUGUUUUAUGUUAUUGUAAUUUCUGCCAUACUAACUGACAAUGCAAUCAUUUGUAGGUUCACCCACUAAUGCAAUAUAUUGAUAAAGGAUGUGACAACUAUUAUCUUAAUGGUAUCAAGUGUUCAGCCAUCUGCCCUUUUCCAGAAACAUCCAUAUUGCGUUUCUCUCUGUCUCAUACAAAAUCCAUAUCUGAAUAAGCUAAGAAUUAACACAGUUGGAUUGAAGUAUAUGAAUUUGAAUGGGAUAUUAUUGAUUAUGCAUUAUACACUAUUUCAAAUUUGCUUUCAUUUGUAAAUUACAUUGUCAAAUCACUCAAUUUGAAUGUGAGUCAUGUAAUACUUUUACAGAUUCAAGAGAUAAUUAUGAUGACUGAAUAAUGAUUUAUUUCAGAAAUUCUGACAUAAAUAAAGAUGUAGUAUAUUUAAUUCAACUGCUAAUAAUAGUAGGUACAUUUCAUAUUCACAAAUGCAAAUGGUCUAAUUCAAAAACCUAACUUUUUUCACUUUAUAAAUGAGUUUAAACAAUAUGGCACUACUUACAUUAUUUUUUUUUAAGGCAUUUAAAAAUUGUAUUAUUAAUUAAUAUGAUUUGUUUGUUUAGGAUUCCUGGCAACGUAAAUAGUUUGUUUGUAUGCUUGUUUUCAUGUGACUAUUCC